This 433-nucleotide ribosomal RNA is filed under the name uncultured bacterium. RNAcentral describes it as "partial 16S ribosomal RNA". It matches the Rfam family "Bacterial small subunit ribosomal RNA", at positions 29 to 507 of the family's 1533-position model. The record is from RNAcentral.
AACGAACGCUGGCGGCAUGCCUAACACAUGCAAGUCGAACGAUACCUUCGGGUCUAGUGGCGCAGGGGUGCGUAACGCAUGGGAACCUGCCCUUAGGUUCGGAAUAACUCCCCGAAAGGGGUUCUAAUACCGGAUAAUGUCUUCGGACCAAAGAUUUAUCGCCUUUGGAUGGGCCCGCGUUCGAUUAGCUAGUUGGUAGGGUAAAAGCCUACCAAGGCGACGAUCCAUAGCUGGUCUGAGAGGAUGAUCAGCCACACUGGGACUGAGACACGGCCCAGACUCCUACGGGAGGCAGCAGUGGGGAAUAUUGGACAAUGGGCGAAAGCCUGAUCCAGCAAUGCCGCGUGAGUGAUGAAGGCCUUAGGGUUGUAAAGCUCUUUUACCCGGGAUGAUAAUGACAGUACCGGGAGAAUAAGCUCCGGCUAACUCCGUG